RNAcentral lists this ribosomal RNA (468 nucleotides) under uncultured bacterium. Its description in RNAcentral is "partial 16S ribosomal RNA". It matches the Rfam family "Bacterial small subunit ribosomal RNA", at positions 28 to 507 of the family's 1533-position model. The record is from RNAcentral.
GACGAACGCUGGCGGCGUGCUUAACACAUGCAAGUCGAACGGAAAGACCCUGCUUUUGUGGGGUGCUCGAGUGGCGAACGGGUGAGUAACACGUGAGUAACCUGCACUUGCCUUUGGGAUAACUUCAGGAAACUGGGGCUCAUACCGGAUAGGAGCUCCUGCUGCAUGGUGGGGGUUGGAAAGUUUCGGCGGUUGGGGAUGGACUCGCGGCUUAUCAGCUUGUUGGUGGGGUAGUGGCUUACCAAGGCUUUGACGGGUAGCCGGCCUGAGAGGGUGACCGGCAACAUGGGGACUGAGAUACGGCCCAGACUCCUACGGGAGGCAGCAGUGGGGAAUAUUGCACGAUGGGCGGAAGCCUGAUGCAGCAACGCCGCGUGCGGGAUGACGGCCUUCGGGUUGUAAACCGCUUUCGCCUGUGACGAAGCGUGAGUGACGGUAAUGGGUAAAGAAGCACCGGCUAACUACGUG